AGGAAGGUAGUUAACUGAGAUAGUUACAUUAGGCAGUUGAUUAGCAGCUUAUGCAGAUUCUACGUUAAUUCUUGGUUAGCUUGAUUAGUUUAGCUAGCAGACAACCAACAGACAAAGAAAACAUUAGAUAAGGCUUAGCAAGUGAGUAGAGUCUGCUGCUAGGGUGGCUGUGAAGGGACUGCACAAGCUAGAUUAGGAAUAAUGACUGUGUAGGGGCCAACUAGGAGGUGAUGCAAUUAACAGUA
This 245-nucleotide long non-coding RNA is filed under the name Panax ginseng (ginseng). RNAcentral describes it as "long non-coding RNA (PGIN_LNC018666)". Lineage: Eukaryota; Viridiplantae; Streptophyta; Magnoliopsida; Apiales; Araliaceae. The record is from RNAcentral.